GUUUGGGGUGACUUCUUACCAGGGAUGUUAUUCUUGACCCCCCGGGGCAAACGGAGGUGUUCACCUGGUCAGCGUCAGGAGCCAUCCUAACUGAGGCCCUGGUAGGCUCCCUCUUUUCCUUCGGUUGCCGUGGAUGUGCCGGACGCCUCUGGCAGGACUAACCCUGUGGCUUUAAGGUCCGGCGUGCCGUGUGCCUGCAGUAUCCUGUACAAGACAAAGCUGCCUUUCCUCGUGGGAAUGGACUGGCCGGGCUUUGGCAAUCUGGCCCCUCGAAAGACUAAAGUGACCUCUUCCAACAGGGGAAGACUUUCUGGCAAGCGGGGCCAGGAAGAACUGGAGUUUGUGGAGAAUAAAAGCUGGAAGCGUGCCCCUGAAAAUCCCCCCCCACUCCGGGCGGUCAGUGGGCUGACUCGCACGGACCGGUGGCCUUGGCCAGGAGCGGUCCUGCGGGAAGCGCCUUUGCCCGGGCUGUCAUUUUAAUUUCCAUUGGGUGCUUGGCA
Long non-coding RNA from Chiroxiphia lanceolata (lance-tailed manakin), 500 nucleotides. RefSeq lists it as uncharacterized. The transcript is spliced from 3 exons. The record is from RefSeq and is a predicted model, not a curated record. NCBI's taxonomy places the organism in Eukaryota, Metazoa, Chordata, Aves, Passeriformes, Pipridae.